This 331-nucleotide unclassified non-coding RNA is filed under the name soil metagenome. RNAcentral describes it as "partial contains 5.8S ribosomal RNA, internal transcribed spacer 2, and large subunit ribosomal RNA". The stretch from base 1 to 120 matches the Rfam family "5.8S ribosomal RNA", at positions 35 to 154 of the family's 154-position model. The record is from RNAcentral.
GAUGAAGAACGCAGCGAAAUGCGAUAAGUAAUGUGAAUUGCAGAAUUCAGUGAAUCAUCGAAUCUUUGAACGCACAUUGCGCCCCCUGGUAUUCCGGGGGGCAUGCCUGUUCGAGCGUCAUUUCACCACUCAAGCCUCGCUUGGUAUUGGGCAACGCGGUCCCCCGCGUGCCUCAAAUCGUCCGGCUGGGUCUUCUGUCCCCUAAGCGUUGUGGAAACUAUUCGCUAAAGGGUGUUCGGGAGGCUACGCCGUAAAACAACCCCAUUUCUAAGGUUGACCUCGGAUCAGGUAGGGAUACCCGCUGAACUUAAGCAUAUCAAUAAGCGGAGGA